CGAGACCCCAGGCCAGU
RNAcentral lists this ribosomal RNA (17 nucleotides) under Melicytus flexuosus. RNAcentral's name for it is "partial 26S ribosomal RNA". Lineage: Eukaryota; Viridiplantae; Streptophyta; Magnoliopsida; Malpighiales; Violaceae. The record is from RNAcentral.